RNAcentral lists this ribosomal RNA (390 nucleotides) under uncultured bacterium. Its description in RNAcentral is "bacterial SSU rRNA". It matches the Rfam family "Bacterial small subunit ribosomal RNA", at positions 131 to 507 of the family's 1533-position model. The record is from RNAcentral.
UCUUAGCAGGGGAUAACAUUUGGGAAACAAAUGCUAAUACCGUAUAAUAAUUAAAACCGCAUUGGUUUUAGUUUAAAGAUGGUCUUGCUAUCACUAAGAGAUGGUCCCGCGGUGUAUUAGUUAGUUGGUGAGGUAAUGGCUCACCAAGACAAUGAUACAUAGCCGAGUUGAGAGACUGACCGGCCACAAUGGGACUGAGACACGGCCCAUACUCCUACGGGAGGCAGCAGUAGGGAAUCUUCCACAAUGGACGAAAGUCUGAUGGAGCAACGCCGCGUGUGUGAUGAAGGGUUUCGGCUCGUAAAACACUGUUGUAAGAGAAGAAUGACAUUGAGAGUAACUGUUCAAUGUGUGACGGUAUCUUACCAGAAAGGAACGGCUAAAUACGUG